This 408-nucleotide unclassified non-coding RNA is filed under the name Athalia rosae (coleseed sawfly). RNAcentral's name for it is "misc RNA ENSAEAG00005004145.1". Lineage: Eukaryota; Metazoa; Arthropoda; Insecta; Hymenoptera; Athaliidae. The record is from RNAcentral.
CUUGUGGAUCUACUUCUUUAGCCAGCUUGAGCGCAUCGCUAUUAGCCAAGUCAGUAUUAGCUGGUGUUACAGCUAAUAUAAGACAGUUGUCCCUUUUAAUAAAUUGGAAUAUCAUGCCCUUAAUUUGAGCUUCAAUAUCCACUGGUUGAUCUCCAAUUGGUACUUUGGUAAGACCAGGCAAGUCAAUCAGGAAAACCACGUACCAUUUGGGGAAUAAACUCUGAGGUUGAUUGGUAUAUUCGAAAUGCCUUUGUUACUACCGGUAACUCUGUCAGUUUCCGCCUCAAUUUCUUUACGCACCUCAUCGAAAUCCACAAACUUUUUACCCUUUUGAUGAAGAAAUUCAGCAUGUUCUGGAAUAAAUAAAAAUCAAAACAAUCAUCUUAUUCAAUAGAUUUUUUUUAUAUA